CGAAGCCCCAGUGAACGGCGGCCGUAACUAUAACGGUCCUAAGGUAGCGAAAUUCCUUGUCAGGUAAGUUCUGACCCGCAUGAAAGGCGUAAUGAUUUGGGCACUGUCUCGACAGCCCGCCCGGCGAAAUUGUAGUACCGGUGAAGAUGCCGGUUACCCGCGACAAGACGGAAAGACCCCAUGGAGCUUUACUGUAGCCUAAUAUUGGGUUUCGAUGUUGCAUGCACAGGAUAGAUGGGACACAGGGAAACAAGUGCUUUGGCAUUUGUGGAGUGGCCGUUGGGAUACCAUCCUUGCGAUAUUGGAAUUCUAACCUGCGCCUUUGAAUCAAGGCGGGGGACAUUGUUAGGUGGGCAGUUUGACUGGGGCGGUCGCCUCCUAAAGAGUAACGGAGGCGUUCAAAGGUUCGCUCAGCUUGAACGGAAAUCAAGCAAAAGAGUGCAAACGCAGAAGCGAGCCUAACUGCGAGACUGACGGGUCGAGCAGUAACGAAAGUUGGAGUUAGUGAUCCGGUGGUAUGUGAGUGGAAAUGCCAUCGCUCAACGGAUAAAAGUUACCCUGGGGAUAACAGGCUGAUCUCCCCCAAGAGUCCACAUCGACGGGGAGGUUUGGCACCUCGAUGUCGGCUCAUCGCAUCCUGGGGCUGUAUUCGGUCCCAAGGGUUUGGCUGUUCGCCAAUUAAAGCGGCACGCGAGCUGGGUUCAGAACGUCGUGAGACAGUUCGGUCCCUAUCUGUUGCGGGCGUAAGAGAUUUGAAGGGAGCUGUCCUUAGUACGAGAGGACCGGGAUGGACGUACCUCUGGUGCACCAGUUGUCCUGCCAAGGGCAUAGCUGGGUAGCUAUGUACGGACGAGAUAAACGCUGAAAGCAUCUAAGCGUGAAACUCCCCCUAAGAUGAGAUCUCUCAUCCUUCAAGGAGUAAGGACCCAGAAAGACGAUCUGGUUGAUAGGCCGAAGGUGGAAGCGCAGUAAUGUGUGCAGCUGAUCGGUACUAAUAGUCCGAGGGCUUGACCUA
Molecule: ribosomal RNA, 1015 nt
Filed under: metagenome
Description: bacterial LSU rRNA
Rfam family: Bacterial large subunit ribosomal RNA
Source: RNAcentral